GUCAAGAUGGCCGAGUAGGUCUUAAGCGCCAAUUUCAGGUACUGGUCCGAUAAGGCAUGGCUUCAAAUCCCUUUCUUGACA
Ipomoea nil (Japanese morning glory) is the source of this 81-nucleotide non-coding RNA. Lineage: Eukaryota; Viridiplantae; Streptophyta; Magnoliopsida; Solanales; Convolvulaceae. The record is from Rfam.